AGAGCGAACGUUAGCGGCGGGCCUAACACAUGCAAGUCGAGCGAGAAAGGGGCUUCGGCCCUGAGUACAGCGGCGGACGGGUGAGUAAUACGUAGGUAACCUGCCCCCCAGUUUGGGACAACGGUCCGAAAGGACCGCUAAUACCGGAUUCGUUCCUUGGGACUCUGGUCCUGGGGAGGAAAGCUGCCCGCAAGGGUGCGCUGAGGGAGGGCCUACGUCGCAUCAGCUAGUUGGUGGGUAAUGGCCUACCAAGGCGAAGACGCGUAGCUGGUCUGAGAGGAUGAUCAGCCACACUGGGACUGAGACACGGCCCAGACU
RNAcentral lists this ribosomal RNA (318 nucleotides) under uncultured soil bacterium. RNAcentral describes it as "bacterial SSU rRNA". It matches the Rfam family "Bacterial small subunit ribosomal RNA", at positions 26 to 337 of the family's 1533-position model. The record is from RNAcentral.